GGGGCUGUGGCUUAGUGGUAGAGCAUCUGCUUGGCUUGCAAAAGGUCCCAGGUUCACUCUCUGACAUCUCAA
RNAcentral lists this transfer RNA (72 nucleotides) under Sphaerodactylus townsendi. RNAcentral's name for it is "tRNA-Ala". Lineage: Eukaryota; Metazoa; Chordata; Lepidosauria; Squamata; Sphaerodactylidae. The record is from RNAcentral.